GAUUACUUCAUCUACCAUGGCAAAUCCAACAGAUAUGAUGAUGAUGGGAAGGAGUUAUGAAGAUACUCGUACUCAUAAUAAUCAGUUCUUGAUGGGUGGUUACCAUAAACCAUGUGAAGAAAUCUAUGUAGUUGGUGAAGGUAACUUAGGUGAAUUGCAGGAUGGAUACAGGCAAUCAAAAUUGUAUAUUUACACUGUAAAUUUCAAGUGAAGUAUUUGCAUGCUCUUUAUUAUCUUCUUUACUUGCAUAGUCCUAAUAAUAAUAAACAUCAGAACUACAACAAUCUCAAUCCAUAUAGGGGGACAAUAUGGCAUGUUGGGUUGGGACAAUUCCCCACGCUCUUCCCCUAAUCCACCCCUAAUUAUUUACAAUACAUAAAAUUAAAUAUUGUGCACACACCUAUGUUAGUGUUAAUUUAUAUUUUUAUUCCAUUGGUUAA
Papaver somniferum (opium poppy) is the source of this 440-nucleotide long non-coding RNA. RefSeq lists it as uncharacterized. The record is from RefSeq and is a predicted model, not a curated record. The transcript has 2 exons. NCBI's taxonomy places the organism in Eukaryota, Viridiplantae, Streptophyta, Magnoliopsida, Ranunculales, Papaveraceae.